UACGUAGGGGGCAAGCGUUGUCCGGAAUUACUGGGCGUAAAGGGCGUGUAGGCGGCCGACCAAGUCCGGUGUGAAAAUCCAGGGCUCAACCCUGGACGUGCAUUGGAAACUGGUUGGCUUGAGUGCAGGAGAGGAAAGUGGAAUUCCCAGUGUAGCGGUGAAAUGCGUAGAUAUUGGGAGGAACACCAGUGGCGAAGGCGACUUUCUGGCCUGUAACUGACGCUGAGGCGCGAAAGCUAGGGGAGCAAACAGG
This 253-nucleotide ribosomal RNA is filed under the name uncultured bacterium. Its description in RNAcentral is "partial 16S ribosomal RNA". It matches the Rfam family "Bacterial small subunit ribosomal RNA", at positions 524 to 776 of the family's 1533-position model. The record is from RNAcentral.